RNAcentral lists this long non-coding RNA (695 nucleotides) under Daphnia pulicaria. RNAcentral describes it as "uncharacterized LOC124342475, transcript variant X1". Lineage: Eukaryota; Metazoa; Arthropoda; Branchiopoda; Diplostraca; Daphniidae. The record is from RNAcentral.
GUGGCGUCAUCAGGGCAUUAACGUUUGAACCACCGUGAAAGACAGUCGUGUUUACUGUUUUUCAUACUUGCAAUUUGAAGGAUCCACUGACACCAAUUCCCAAUACGAACUGAAAAAAUUCACGGCGACAUUGAUAAAUCCUUGUGUGGGUUCUCAAAUUCGUCUGGGGACGUAGAUCGACUUUCCUUGUUAUAUUUUUCUGAUCCUGAGUUAUUGUUCUGGAGGUCUGAAACUAGGAAUUGAAUUUGAAGCCGUUCAACCCGUUGCCAAAAGAAAACCGAAGAUGUUGGGAUUUGGAUACAUGUUGUUGGUGAUGCUUAUCGUGGCAACUAUCAGCAUUGCUGAAAACUCACGUACUCACGAAGGACUUUUGCCUAGUUCAACUCGCCUACGUGUACCAGUUGGACAAGAGGCCCUUGAUUUGAUCCCCUACUCAUGAGUCUUGUGUGUAAAAUAUUUAACUAUGGACCAUUAAUUUAGUAUAAUUUUUCAAUCUCCCUAUUAUCCCCGUGCUAAAAGUUUCCCCGCUUGCUUUUACAUUUCAAUUGACUUUUCGUUUAAUUUUCUAACGUAUCACUACAACAUAUUUCGUCAAACAGAUUUAUCUUUAAAAUGGAAAACUCGAUUCAACGAGAAAUAUUUACGUGUAUAUUCUACCUGCCUCAUGUGGUUCCAAUAUAACAUUAAAUAGCCUG